Molecule: ribosomal RNA, 198 nt
Filed under: uncultured bacterium
Lineage: Bacteria
Description: partial 16S ribosomal RNA
Rfam family: Bacterial small subunit ribosomal RNA
Source: RNAcentral
AAGAUUAAUACGCAUAAGAUUGUAGUAUCGCAUGAUAUAGCAAUUAAAAGGAGGCAAUCCGCUAUAAGAUGGACCGCGUCGCAUUAGCUAGUUGGUGAGGUGAUGGCUCACCAAGGCGACGAUGCGUAGCCGACCUGAGAGGGUGAUCGGCCACAUUGGGACUGAGACACGGCCCAGACUCCUACGGGAGGCAGCAUG